This is a long non-coding RNA of Zingiber officinale, 473 nucleotides long. RefSeq lists it as uncharacterized. The transcript has 3 exons. The record is from RefSeq and is a predicted model, not a curated record. NCBI's taxonomy places the organism in Eukaryota, Viridiplantae, Streptophyta, Magnoliopsida, Zingiberales, Zingiberaceae.
UACACGCAGUUUCCUCUUCCGACAUAUAUAUUUGAUACAUGGCGCGAAUGUGCUCUUGGUUGAGUUACUUUAAGUUCCAAGCCUUGUUUCUUGAUGGAGUUAUUGAUCGGCGACUUUCUGUUCAUGGUGACUUUAUGCUCUCCUCUUUUGUCAACUGCACCUAGAAGUUAUCCUGGAAUCUACAGUCUCCAGAGGCAGCUAUGCAGUGAAGUUGGUUUACUUGUUACAUCGCCACCUUGUUACAACUCUUGUUUGGAGCCCAUGUGAACGUCCUGCCCCCAAAAUAGUAUUGCUGCAAUGGUUUACGCAUCAACUUCAAUUUUGUUACUUCUAUUUUCCAAGUCUAAUAAUAUGUGCAGUGAUUCUUUCAGUUCCUACAAAGUUUGUCUUUCACCAAUACUAUAUGGACCAACUUCCUACCUUGAGACAGCAGCUUGGGCUCUUGACAUCAGAAUGACUCUUGUGCCUUCUCA